CGGGUCCGUUCGCCCAAAUGACAGGCAGGGGUGGAGAACCCAAACACCGACGGCCAGCCGCCUUGCUUCCUUGGCACGCGGCCGUCUUGGGGUGAAGUCGCAGCUUGGCCUGCGACCGGAUCUGACCGGUCCGAACCCGACAGCUAACUCCGCAGGCGCCAUGAGAGGUCUC
Molecule: small RNA, 172 nt
Filed under: Arthrobacter rhombi
Lineage: Bacteria; Bacillati; Actinomycetota; Actinomycetes; Micrococcales; Micrococcaceae
Description: c-di-AMP sequence
Rfam family: c-di-AMP riboswitch aptamer (ydaO/yuaA leader)
About the family: This family represents a conserved RNA structure found upstream of the ydaO and yuaA genes in Bacillus subtilis and related genes in other bacteria. The ydaO/yuaA element is thought to act as a genetic "off" switch for the ydaO and yuaA genes in its native state.
Source: Rfam by way of RNAcentral